UACAAGAUCUAAGAGCUGUAGGAAUAAGACUUAAGUCAAGCAAGACACGAAGGCCAAGAGACAUAGAUUUCUCCGAAGGAUUGUUCGCUGCAGAACUGACUCUUCCUGAGAUCGUUGUGGACGACACUUCAGCCGCUACUUUCCUCAACCUGAUAGCAUAUGAGAUGUGUCCAGAUUUUGACAACGACUACGGGAUUUGUUCUUUUGCAGCUUUCAUGGACUCGCUUAUCGACAAUCCUGAAGAUGUCAAGUUACUAAGAUCAAAAGGGAUUUUGCUCAAUUCCCUUGGGAGUGAUGAGGAAGUUGCUGAACUUUUCAAUAUCAUAAGUACUGACUUGGUACCUAACUCAGAAACAUAUUUUGAAGUUAGAGCCAAAAUACAUGAUCAUUAUUGUAAUAGAUGCAAUACAUGGAUAGCAGAGGGUUUUCACACUUACUUCAGCAAUCCUUGGGCCAUUAUUGCAUUCAUUGCUGCGUUUACUGCCCUUGUUCUUACUUUCAUUCAAACAUGGUUUACGGUUAACCCGGCUAGCAAAUAAAGGUGGUUCGUUAUGGCAAUGUUGCUUUCAUACAAUUAAAAAUUCGUAACAAAAAUAGGUCGAGUAUGUGUUGGUAUUGCACCGUGCAUAAUAAUUGUCUUCUGGUAAGGCAAGUAGUGUACUUUACUUCUCUGUGGAUUGUUUUGAAUUUUUGCGUUAAGUUGGUGUGUCCCUUCAUGAGUCUUGACUAUGAGUAUCUCAGAAAUAAAGAGUGCCUUUUCUGUGUUGUUUGUUUGAAUUGAAACAUGAAUUUUCAUAUUUCUACUAUAUUGUUGAGAUUAUGUUGAUUUUGUUUAGAUGAGUUAUUUAAUAUUUUGCUCAUCGACAUUGCAAUAAGUGAAUAGACCAAAUGAGCUAAUAAGACAAGUAUAUUAUAGAGUAUUACUAGACAUGGCAACACAUGAAGUAUUGGUUACAAAAUAACGUAACAACGAAUAAGUGUGGUCCAUAAAAAACGAAUAUACGUACAGUUAGUGCCAUCUUUCUCAUUUCCUGUAUGUAGUUGAUUGUUUUGUUUAUUUGCUUAUAUGUACUCUAGCAGUGCAUGUAGAUAGUAAAACCGGUGGGAAGAUUUCUCUUAGAAAAACAUGAACCUGAAUCUAUUGAGAAUAAACUAGAAUUGAUUAGAUGUAGUCAAAUUCAAGAUUAGUAAAAGCAAAGAUCAUUUUACUUUUCUUGUCCAUUGAGUAAAGUGAUGGACAUAUGAAGAGGACAGGUAUAAAAAUCGAUUAAAGUUGAAGUGUAAGAUUAUUUUAAGCAAGCAUAUUUAGUUAUCUUGUUCAUUAGGUAAAGGUUUGAGAGCAUGAAAAACUAAAGCACUAUAUUGAAUUUGAGCCCAUAUUAUAUAAUACACAUUUUGAUUUACAUUUUCGUUAAGUUUGAAAGAUCAAUAUCUCUCAACCAUAUGAUGGCAUCCCAAACUAUUAAUGAAAAAUUUGUGGAGUUACAAAAAUCAAAGCAAACACCCCAAAAUUCACGACCGAAAAUACAAAGGGUGGCAGAGUAUCUCAGAAAUAGAAAAAACUUUGAGAAGCAUUACUCGCCCAAGUUGUUGUCGGUAGGUCCUAUCCAUCAUGACAACACAAAUUUGAAGUUAGGAGAGAAGUACAAGCUUAUGUGGGCAGCAAAAUACAUCGAAAACACUGGACACAUUCCAGAGGAUCUGCACAAAAAGAUUGCAGAUAACAUUGAUGAACUGAAGGGUCAUUUUGGCGACGAUGUUUUAACUUUAACUGGCAAGUCUCUUGAAGGCUUUGGAAGCCUCGAAGAAAAGCUGUCGUGGAUGUUGUUCGUGGAUGGAUGUUCUUUGUUGUAUAUCUUAGAGAAAGCCAAGCUUGAUGAACCUGGGCACAUGAAUAUUAAAGUUGAUCAACUGGUUCUUGUGAUGAUGGAUGUGCUUCUGUUGGAGAAUCAACUUCCUUACGUAGUACUCAAGCUAUUGUGGAAAGAUAACGAUAGUGAAUUGAUAAAAAGCAUGAUGACUUUCCUCGACUGUCAUCAUUGGGCCACACCAGAUGAGUCACAGCCAGAUAAGGAGAAGGACAUGGUUCCAAAAGGAAAGGGAGAAGGAGAACAUAGUGUAUCAAUAACAAAUGAGUCCCAGUUAGAGACACCCACUCAUCUUCUUGAUCUUCAGCGUAAAAUCAUCCUCACUACAUCUAAUUCCAAGGUACAAUAGAAAUAACAAAAAAAUAAGUACUAGAAAAAAUUGAAAUAACAACAGAAAUUACAAACAAACAAAACUAUUAGGUUACUAAAUUUAAGGGCAGAAUAAGAAACAGAGUUUGUUUCAUCAGUAUAUUUCAACUAUUUUUAUUAGUUUUAUGUCUAUCUACCAUUAUCAUAAUUACAAAGGGGAGGACAGUAAUCAGAGGGGUGUACAUAAUAGUAAUUAGAGGAUUAAACUAAAAUAAAAUAAUUAAUACUGUAUAGAAAAGAUAAAAUAACACCCUUUUCUUGACUUUUGAUAUUUUUGAGGGGGAAAUAACACUUUUUUUAAAUAUUUUUCCUUUGCUCAAAUGUGAUUAUUAUUGCUGCACAUAGAAAGUUAAGAUUUGAAUAUUUUUUAUUAUCAUGAGUAAGAUGAUCCAAUUCAUUUCUGAUUAAAACAUAGACUAAAAGCAAUGAAGCUAACAACAAUAAAUGGAGUCAGAAGAAUUCAGAUGAAAAUGUCAAGAAGAAUUCAAAGGAAGAUGUCAAGAUGAUGACAUACAGGAGCAUACAAGAUCUAAGAGCAGUCGGAAUAAGACUUAAGUCAAGUGCGACACGGAGGCCAACAGACGUAGAUUUCUCUGCAGGAUGGUUCGCUGCGAAACUGACUCUUCCUGAGAUCGUUGUGGACGACACUUCAGCCGCAACUUUCCUCAACCUGAUAGCAUAUGAGAUGUGUCCAGAUUUUGAGAACGACUACGGAAUUUGUUCGUUUGCAGCUUUCAUGGACUCACUCAUUGACCGUCCUGAAGAUGUGAAGGAAUUGAGAUCAAAAGGGAUUUUGCUCAAUUCCCUUGGGAGUG
RNAcentral lists this long non-coding RNA (3052 nucleotides) under Medicago truncatula (barrel medic). Its description in RNAcentral is "long non-coding RNA (MTRU_LNC005151)". The record is from RNAcentral. Lineage: Eukaryota; Viridiplantae; Streptophyta; Magnoliopsida; Fabales; Fabaceae.